AGGCAGGGCAAGAGACUGGUGGCUCUUGUGAGCAGAAGAGGCUUAGUGGAGAAAGAAGCCAUUGAGUUGAGCUCAGAAGGCUGCACAAUACUUGGAUAUGCGAGCAGUGAAGAUGAGAGAAGGGGUGGCAUUCUUGGCAAGAGGAAAUAUGCAGGCAGCCCCAACGGGACCGCUUUGCAUUCCUGCCAGCUUCUCCUAUAGCGUCGUGACCAAGGGCACAAGGAAGCUCUGGAGCCAGACUGCCUGGGUUCAGGGCCAUGACUAGCCGUGUGACCUUAGGUCCCGGUCGCCAGAGAUGCCCGAUCAUGUGCCAUCCCACAGCCAAGCGCCUGUGUCCAUCUGCUAGGGAGCCCGAGGCGAGAUGAUGGCCUUCUUCUCAAGUUCCACGCAGCCGAGGAGCAGUGCAGGGGGCCUGGUGGGCUCAGCAGCACCCCUGCAGGUGUGUGGUGGGCGUGAGGAGCAUUUCCAGGAGGUGGUGCUGAGCUGCAGGUCAGCAUGCUUUCUUGAAGGGGCCAGGCUGGGGCUGAGCCCUGGGGGACGCGGAGGUGGCUCAGAGCCGCUGCCACCAGCCAGAUGGCCCCUCCGGCGUCAGCCACUCUCCCCACUCUCCGCCUGUCCCAAACUCCGUGACUCAUCUGCUUGCUGAAUCCAUCCUCCUCAGAGCCGCUGGGUUCCAGGCCGACGGAUCUUUAUUUUCCGAAGGGGUCCUGAAUGAGUUAUUCUACUGAGCAAAACCAGUUCUUCACAGGCCGUUUCUCUUCAUUGGCUGCUGGUGCUCCCCCUGCUUGGCAAAAUUGUCUUUGCC
This 805-nucleotide long non-coding RNA is filed under the name Equus caballus (horse). RNAcentral's name for it is "lncRNA (ENSECAG00000053743.1)". The record is from RNAcentral. Lineage: Eukaryota; Metazoa; Chordata; Mammalia; Perissodactyla; Equidae.